GCGGAGGAAAAGAAACCAACAGGGAUUGCCCCAGUAACGGCGAGUGAAGCGGCAACAGCUCAAAUUUGAAAUCUGGUCCCCCCGCGGGGCCCGAGUUGUAAUUUGAAGAGGAUGCUUCUGGCAAGGUGCCGUCCGAGUUCCCUGGAACGGGACGCCGCAGAGGGUGAGAGCCCCGUACGGUCGGACGCCGAGCCUCUGUGAAGCUCCUUCGACGAGUCGAGUAGUUUGGGAAUGCUGCUCAAAAUGGGAGGUAAACCCCUUCUAAAGCUAAAUACCGGCCAGAGACCGAUAGCGCACAAGUAGAGUGAUCGAAAGAUGAAAAGCACUUUGAAAAGAGAGUUAAAAAGCACGUGAAAUUGUUGAAAGGGAAGCGCUUGCGACCAGACUCGCGCCCGUCGGAUCAGCCGUCGCUCGUCGGCGGCGCACUCCGGCGGGCUCGGGCCAGCAUCAGUUCGCCUCGGGGGGAGAAAGGCGGCGGGAAUGUGGCUCCACGGAGUGUUAUAGCCCACCGCGUAAUACCCCCGGGCGGACUGAGGACCGCGCGUAUGC
This 549-nucleotide ribosomal RNA is filed under the name Microascus cirrosus. RNAcentral's name for it is "eukaryotic LSU rRNA". It matches the Rfam family "Eukaryotic large subunit ribosomal RNA", at positions 50 to 604 of the family's 3401-position model. Lineage: Eukaryota; Fungi; Ascomycota; Sordariomycetes; Microascales; Microascaceae. The record is from RNAcentral.